This 2525-nucleotide long non-coding RNA is filed under the name Homo sapiens (human). RNAcentral's name for it is "HSALNT0009860". Lineage: Eukaryota; Metazoa; Chordata; Mammalia; Primates; Hominidae. The record is from RNAcentral.
ACAAUGGCCACGACCUGACGCGCGAGCGCCAGCCCCAGCCCGGGAGUCACGCCGCUGGCGCUUGACGCACGCGGAGACCCGGGGGCCGUGCCCCAGCUUUGUGGAACCUGAGGGCGGCUCGGGUCAGGUCGGUCCCCGCGGGAGGACAGGCGCGACCCGUCCCUCAGGACCGACGGCGUGUGGCUGCGGGGGCAUGGGGUGCCCCUCUCGGCCCGGUCGCUCCAGCGAGGGGACGCUGAGCCCCAGCUUUUAAAGGCUUCAUAUUCCUGACAAAUGGAGAUCCACUGACAUGAAGAAAUUCUCAAGCAACUAGGCAACUGGGAUUGUGCAGGGGCUUGCCCCUGAUCCUAUAGUAAAAGGUCCAGCCCUCACUAGCUGAAGUGUAUUGGACAUAUUAUGUGUUUUGAAACAAAGUAGAAUACAAAUAAACAAAUAAGUCGACUUUCUGUCCAAACAAGACAGCAUGAAAAGCAGGAACUUGGUGGUGGUAUGACGUUUCAAUGAACCAAAGAGGCUCUGAUUACCGUCUGUAGACACCCACGGCACAAUUAUUAAGUUCAUUAGACAGAGAGGAAUCUGGAUUCAGCUGUGACAGGACAGCAAAUUAAAUAUACAUGGACAAAAGGAGGAGGCAUUCAAGCUUUUUAUAGUCUUCAACAACAACCAGUCCCUACAUUUAAGAAGGUUAAUAACUGAGACAGCCUUCCUGGUGGAUCCAUCAUUUGGCCCAGCUUGUAGAAAGAUUCCCAACUAGCUCUAAUUAGUUCCAUCUUAUUUGGAGGCAGAGGUAUUCCUCAUCAUACCCAUAUCCUCAUAUAAAUUGUCCAGUGCCCUAGGUACCAGGGAGAAAGAAGACGAAGAAGGACAUAUACCAGAAGCACAUUAAUAGGCUGCUGAAAAACUCUGCCACACUUUCAGAUGACAGGUCACCUACAGAUAAAUGAUUCAAGGAUCAACCAAGUUCUGAAGUUUUUUUUUGUUUUUUUUUUUUGGGAUAGAGUCUCACUGUGUCACCCAGGCUGGAGUGCAGUGGCGUGAUCUCAGCUCACUGCAACCUCUGCCUCCCGAGUUCAAGUGAUUCUCCUGCCUCAGCCUCCCAAGUAGCUGGGAUUAUAGGUGCCUGCCACCAGGCCUGGCUAAUUAUUUUUUGUAUUUUUAGUAGAAACAUAGUUUCACUAUGUUGGCCAGGCUGGUCUUGAACUCCUGACCUUGUGAUCCACCCGCCUCAGCCUCCCAAAGUGCUGGGAUACAGGUGUGAGCCACCAUGCCCGGCCAGUUCUUAAUACUGCCAGGAGUGCUUUAGAAGGCUGGGAAUAUGGGGCGAAAGAUUAGACACCCAAGCUGUUGAAAACCACACAGAGUUUCAGUAAAUAUAUGCACAAUUUGAAAAAUAUAUUUGCAAAAAUCUAGGUGUCUCCGGUCUAGUCCUUCCUAUUAAUCAAAUAAAUUACCGAGCUUCAUGGCCCAGUCUAUGAUCCUAGUUCUGACCGCUGCUGCCCGUAAAGGCCUCAAUGAAUUCCUCUCUGAGCUUCCAGACUUCCUUGGCUGGUGACUUGUUCCUCUUGGGACAGCUUUUGCUUGAGCUGAGCAGCCUGGCCCCCAGCUGUGCAGGGCCCUCUCUCCGGUGAGAGGAAACGCUUUCAGCUUAGUCUGUUAACACAAACAUUCAAAAGCAAACAUUCAAAAGCCACAGAUCAUGUUCGCAUAAAUAAAAUAGGAUUGAGAAAAGCUUUGCCCCAAGAAACCAAAGGGGUGUUUAAAAAACAGCUCUUGCUUUCCAAGUAGGCAGGCAGCAAAGCCACAGCAAUUCCAAAGGUUUGUGUGCUUGGUAGAGCUGGGUGGCUGCAGCCGCAGGCCUUUGAAGAGGAAAUGCCAUCCCUGGUACAGGCAGGCGGCCAACCCAUGAGUCCUGAAAGUACCAGAGAGAAGCAGAAAGCAGGGGAGCACAGUUAGGAAGUGAAAAGGGAGAGGAAGGCACCAAGGAGAUAAAUGAGGAGACUCUUCUUAUCUAGAGUUCCCACCCCAGACCUAAGAGCUACAGGACAGAGGAACUCACUGUGCCUGACAGAGCUGGGGCCUGAAAUAGAAAAAGAUGAUUCUAAAAUCUGAUGGAACCACCAAGGAGCUUGAGUGGCCAAAGCAAAAAGAACAAGCUGAAGGCAUCACACCACCCAACUUCAAAAUAUAUUACAAAGCUAUAGUAAUCAAAACAGCAUUGUUCUCCAUAAAAAGACACAUAGACCAAAGGAACAGAUUAGAUCCCAGAAAUAAACCCAUGCAACUAUCUUUGACAAGGCUACCAAGACAUAAUGAGGAAAAAAUAAUCUCUUCAAUAAAUGAUGCUGGGAAAACUGUAUACCCACAUGCAGAAUGAAAUUGGUCCUUGAUGUUUUAUGUGACUGAAGCAGUUUGAAAAGGAGAGUGAAUGAGAGAGUAAGCAAGCUGUAAAAUUAGGUUGGGACCAAGUCAGGGGUUACCAAAUAUCAGGCUGAGCUUUGGUACUUUAUUUGGCAAGAAAAUAAAAC